Molecule: ribosomal RNA, 253 nt
Filed under: uncultured bacterium
Lineage: Bacteria
Description: partial 16S ribosomal RNA
Rfam family: Bacterial small subunit ribosomal RNA
Source: RNAcentral
UACGUAGGGGGCAAGCGUUAUCCGGAUUUACUGGGUGUAAAGGGAGCGUAGGCGGUGAUGCAAGUCAGAAGUGAAAGCCCGCAGCUCAACUGCGGGACUGCUUUUGAAACUGUAUGACUAGAUUGCAGGAGAGGUAAGUGGAAUUCCUAGUGUAGCGGUGAAAUGCGUAGAUAUUAGGAGGAACACCAGUGGCGAAGGCGGUUUACUGGACUGUAAAUGACGCUGAGGCUCGAAAGCGUGGGGAGCAAACAGG